CCUACGGGGGGCAGCAGUGGGGAAUAUUGCACAAUGGGGGAAACCCUGAUGCAGCAACGCCGCGUGAGUGAAGAAGUAUUUCGGUAUGUAAAGCUCUAUCAGCAGGGAAGAGAAUGACGGUACCUGACUAAGAAGCCCCGGCUAACUACGUGCCAGCAGCCGCGGUAAUACGUAGGGGGCGAGCGUUAUCCGGAUUUACUGGGUGUAAAGGGAGCGUAGACGGUUCUGCAAGUCUGAAGUGAAAGCCCGUGGCUUAACCGCGGAACGGCUUUGGAAACUGUGGAACUGGAGUGCUGGAGAGGCAAGCGGAAUUCCUAGUGUAGCGGUGAAAUGCGUAGAUAUUAGGAGGAACACCAGUGGCGAAGGCGGCUUGCUGGACAGUAACUGACGUUGAGGCUCGAAAGCGUGGGGAGCAAACAGGAUUAGAUACCCGAGUA
This 437-nucleotide ribosomal RNA is filed under the name uncultured bacterium. Its description in RNAcentral is "bacterial SSU rRNA". It matches the Rfam family "Bacterial small subunit ribosomal RNA", at positions 338 to 792 of the family's 1533-position model. The record is from RNAcentral.